CGUCUAUAUACGUAUAGCAUAUCAAUAAGCGGAGGAAAAGAAACUAACUAGGAUUCCCUCAGUAACGGCGAGUGAAGCGGGAAGAGCUCAAAUUUGAAAUCUUCAAGGUUCUACCUUGACGAAUUGCAGUUUAAAGAAGUGUUUUCUGUUGGAGUUUUGGUAAAAGUUCUUUGGAAUAGGACAUCAUAGAGGGUGAGAAUCCCGUAUUUGACCAUUAUUUCCAACUUUGUGAUACACUUUCAAAGAGUCGGAUUGUUUGGGAAUGCAGUCCAAAAUGGGUGGUAAAUUUCAUCUAAAGCUAAAUACUGGCGAGAGACCGAUAGCGAACAAGUACCGUGAGGGAAAGAUGAAAAGAACUUUGAAAAGAGAGUUAAACAGUACGUGAAAUUGUCAAAAGGGAAGCGUUUGACACCAGUGUUGUUUUCUCGAAAAUCAAUUAAAAAUGGUGGGAUUUUGUGUUGUAUUGACUUUAUCAGCUUUCUGCACUCUUUUCCUUAUCUUUUUUAAUGCACUUUUCGUUUAACAAGUCAACAUCAAUUUCUUUUGCUGUAAAAGAGUCAUUGGAAGGUGGCUUUCUUUUCGGAGAAAGUGUUUAUAGCCUUUGACUUCUGCAAUCGGAGAGAUUGAGGUCUGCAGCGUAGAUCCUUCGGGGUUAGAUGCAUUUGUGCUAAGUUAUAGCCUUUCAUAGACAACUUGUUGACUAUGAUCAGUCAUGUAGCUUACUCGCUUAUGUCAUUUUACCUACGCUUAGGAUGUUGACGAUCAGCUGAGCGCG
RNAcentral lists this ribosomal RNA (775 nucleotides) under uncultured Neocallimastigales. RNAcentral describes it as "partial large subunit ribosomal RNA". It matches the Rfam family "Eukaryotic large subunit ribosomal RNA", at positions 26 to 628 of the family's 3401-position model. Lineage: Eukaryota; Fungi; Neocallimastigomycota; Neocallimastigomycetes; Neocallimastigales. The record is from RNAcentral.